UUCCUACGGGAGGCAGCAGUGGGGAAUAUUGGGCAAUGGGCGAAAGCCUGACCCAGCAACGCCGCGUGAAGGAAGAAGGUUUUCGGAUCGUAAACUUCUAUCCCAGAUGAAGAUAAUGACGGUAAUCUGGAAGGAAGCCCCGGCUAACUACGUGCCAGCAGCCGCGGUAAUACGUAGGGGGCAAGCGUUGUCCGGAAUGAUUGGGCGUAAAGGGCGCGUAGGCGGCCUUCUAAGUCCGAUGUGAAAGUCCUGCUUUUAAGGUGGGAAUUGCAUUGGAAACUGGAGGGCUUGAGUGCAGGAGAGGUAAGUGGAAUUCCCGGUGUAGCGGUGAAAUGCGUAGAGAUCGGGAGGAACACCAGUGGCGAAGGCGACUUACUGGACUGUAACUGACGCUGAGGCGCGAAAGUGUGGGGAGCAAACAGGAUUAGAUACCCCUGUAGUC
RNAcentral lists this ribosomal RNA (442 nucleotides) under uncultured Eubacteriales bacterium. Its description in RNAcentral is "bacterial SSU rRNA". It matches the Rfam family "Bacterial small subunit ribosomal RNA", at positions 336 to 795 of the family's 1533-position model. Lineage: Bacteria; Bacillati; Bacillota; Clostridia; Eubacteriales. The record is from RNAcentral.